RNAcentral lists this ribosomal RNA (425 nucleotides) under uncultured bacterium. RNAcentral's name for it is "partial 16S ribosomal RNA". It matches the Rfam family "Bacterial small subunit ribosomal RNA", at positions 354 to 796 of the family's 1533-position model. The record is from RNAcentral.
GUGGGGAAUCUUGUGCAAUGGGCGAAAGCCUGACGCAGCCAUGCCGCGUGAAUGAUGAAGGUCUUAGGAUUGUAAAAUUCUUUCACCGGGGACGAUAAUGACGGUACCCGGAGAAGAAGCUCCGGCUAACUUCGUGCCAGCAGCCGCGGUAAUACGAAGGGGGCUAGCGUUGCUCGGAAUUACUGGGCGUAAAGGGCGCGUAGGCGGACAGCUUAGUCAGAGGUGAAAGCCCAGGGCUCAACCUUGGAAUUGCCUUUGAUACUGGCUGUCUUGAGUUUGGGAGAGGUGAGUGGAACUCCGAGUGUAGAGGUGAAAUUCGUAGAUAUUCGGAAGAACACCAGUGGCGAAGGCGACUCACUGGCCCAAUACUGACGCUGAGGCGCGAAAGCGUGGGGAGCAAACAGGAUUAGAAACCCCAGUAGUCC